GUCCAAAACUGAACCGAAAAUGCAAGACUUGCCAAAAUUCUUUCCUUCAAUUUCUUUCUUUAACAUUUACUAUAAUGGAACUCGUGUUAUUUACACUGUGCUAGAUCAAUACAUAUUUAAAACACUGACAGAGAACAAUUAAAGGAAGUCUUGCAUUUUCGGUUCAGUUUUAACCAAGAUUUUCCGAAGUUGACAAGUGUCUCUUUCUCGCUCCGCCCCUCCGUGCUACGUCAUGUAAUGUACACUAUAGUGGAUCGAUAUGACAAUGAAAGAGAGACUUGGAGCAAGUCUACCC
Non-coding RNA from Paramuricea clavata, 295 nucleotides. Lineage: Eukaryota; Metazoa; Cnidaria; Anthozoa; Malacalcyonacea; Plexauridae. The record is from the annotation of a GenBank genome assembly.